Molecule: non-coding RNA, 199 nt
Organism: Cyanistes caeruleus (blue tit)
Lineage: Eukaryota; Metazoa; Chordata; Aves; Passeriformes; Paridae
Source: RefSeq, a predicted model, not a curated record
CAAAAUCAUCCUGUGCUGUGCCUGGUGCGCCACUGCCGGGACGUUUUCCUGGCCUGGCUCGCCUCCCGCAACGCCGGCGUCGUUUUCGUCAAGUGAGGCUCCGCCCCCUCCUUUUGGGGCAUUUUCAGCCGAUUUCGACAUUUCCCAAAAAUCCCCAAAAUUGGGGAAAUUCCCAAUUAAAAAAAUUUGGAUCAAAAAA